AGUACGUUCGACGUCGUCGGCUACGAGGACACGCUGGCGGCGUGCCUAAUACAUGCAAGUCGAGCGGACAGAAGGGAGCUUGCUCCCGGACGUUAGCGGCGGACGGGUGAGUAACACGUGGGCAACCUGCCCCUUAGACUGGGAUAACUCCGGGAAACCGGAGCUAAUACCGGAUAAUCCCGUUUCUCCACCUGGAGAGAGGGUGAAAGAUGGCUUCGGCUAUCACUAGGGGAUGGGACCCGCGGCGCAUUAGCUAGUUGGUAAGGUAACGGCUUACCAAGGCGACGAUGCGUAGCCGACCUGAGAGGGUGAUCGGCCACACUGGGACUGAGACACGGCCCAGACUCCUACGGGAGCAGCAGUAGGGAAUCUUCCGCAAUGGACGAAAGUCUGACGGAGCAACGCCGCGUGAGUGAGGAAGGCCUUCGGGUCGUAAAGCCCUGUUGUGAGGGAAGAAGCGGUACCGUUCGAAUAGGGCGGUACCUUGACGGUACCUCACCAGAAAGCCACGGCUAACUACGUG
RNAcentral lists this ribosomal RNA (523 nucleotides) under uncultured Bacillus sp. RNAcentral's name for it is "bacterial SSU rRNA". It matches the Rfam family "Bacterial small subunit ribosomal RNA", at positions 1 to 507 of the family's 1533-position model. The record is from RNAcentral. Lineage: Bacteria; Bacillati; Bacillota; Bacilli; Caryophanales; Bacillaceae.